GUAAACCAAAGUGUGCCUAUAGAAUAUGGGUGGUGCACACGACCACGGGGAACAUUGAUAAGUGAUAUACCUGUGUUCAAAUAUAAUUGUGCAGUUAUAAGUUCUAAGUUAUAGCCCCGACCACUUUUUUCGCAGAACUUAAAAAUCUUGUUGAGAUAUAACAAGUCAUACUUGUACCCAUGUAAGUGUGUAAACACAGACUAUUUUUGGUCGCCAAUAUAGACUUUCAU
This 230-nucleotide long non-coding RNA is filed under the name Vitis vinifera (wine grape). RNAcentral's name for it is "long non-coding RNA (VVIN_LNC008099)". The record is from RNAcentral. Lineage: Eukaryota; Viridiplantae; Streptophyta; Magnoliopsida; Vitales; Vitaceae.